UACGUAGGGGGCAAGCGUUGUUCGGAAUUACUGGGCGUAAAGGGCGCGUAGGCGGCACGGCAAGUCGGGAGUGAAAGCCCGGGGCUCAACCCCGGAGGGUCUUCCGAAACUGCCGAGCUAGAGUGCGGAAGAGGCAACCGGAAUUCCCAGUGUAGCGGUGAAAUGCGUAGAUAUUGGGAAGAACACCAGAGGCGAAGGCGGGUUGCUGGGCCGACACUGACGCUGAGGCGCGAAAGCGUGGGGAGCAAACAGG
This 253-nucleotide ribosomal RNA is filed under the name uncultured bacterium. Its description in RNAcentral is "partial 16S ribosomal RNA". It matches the Rfam family "Bacterial small subunit ribosomal RNA", at positions 524 to 776 of the family's 1533-position model. The record is from RNAcentral.